GAUGAACGCUAGCGGCAGGCCUAAUACAUGCAAGCCGGACGGCAAGUUGAGUAGCAAUACUUGACCUAGAGUGGCGUAAGGGUGCGUAACACGUAUGCAAUCUGCCCACAGCCGGGAGAUAGCCCUCCGAAAGGAGGAUUAAUAUCCCAUAGGAAGAUGAAAUGGCAUCAUUUUAUUUUUAAACUACGGGGCUGUGGAUGAGCAUGCGGUUGAUUAGCUAGUUGGCGGGGUAAAGGCCCACCAAGGCGAUGAUCAAUAGGGGACCUGAGAGGUGAUCCCCCACACUGGUACUGAGAUACGGACCAGACUCCUACGGGAGGCAGCAGUAGGGAAUAUUGGUCAAUGGAGGCAACUCUGAACCAGCCAUGCCGCGUGCAGGAAGAAGGCCUUCUGGGGUUGUAAAACUGCUUUUGCCAGGGGAUAAAAUUUCCA
RNAcentral lists this ribosomal RNA (432 nucleotides) under uncultured bacterium. RNAcentral describes it as "bacterial SSU rRNA". It matches the Rfam family "Bacterial small subunit ribosomal RNA", at positions 28 to 457 of the family's 1533-position model. The record is from RNAcentral.